AGUCCGCACGAGCGCACCCCUAUCCUUAGUUGCUAGCAGGUAAUGCUGAGAACUCUAAGGAGACUGCCGGUGAUAAACCGGAGGAAGGUGGGGGCGACGCUCAAGUCAUCAUGGCCCUUACGUGUAGGGCUACACACGUGCUACAAUGGCGCAUACAGAGUGCUGCGAACUCGCGAGAGUAAGCGAAUCACUUAAAGUGCGUCGUAGUCCGGAUUGGAGUCUGCAACUCGACUCCAUGAAGUCGGAAUCGCUAGUAAUCGCAUAUCAGAAUGAUGCGGUGAAUACGUUCCCGGGCCUUGUACACACCGCCCGUCACACCAUGGGAGUGGGUUGCUCCAGAAGUGGAUAGUCUAACCUUCGGGAGGACGUUCACCACGGAGUGAUUCAUGACUGGGGUGAAGUCGUAACAAGGUAGCCCUAGGGGAACCUGGGGCUGGAUCACCUCCCU
RNAcentral lists this ribosomal RNA (448 nucleotides) under uncultured Pseudoalteromonas sp. RNAcentral describes it as "bacterial SSU rRNA". It matches the Rfam family "Bacterial small subunit ribosomal RNA", at positions 1083 to 1532 of the family's 1533-position model. The record is from RNAcentral. Lineage: Bacteria; Pseudomonadati; Pseudomonadota; Gammaproteobacteria; Alteromonadales; Pseudoalteromonadaceae.